RNAcentral lists this ribosomal RNA (413 nucleotides) under uncultured microorganism. RNAcentral's name for it is "bacterial SSU rRNA". It matches the Rfam family "Archaeal small subunit ribosomal RNA", at positions 330 to 744 of the family's 1478-position model. The record is from RNAcentral.
GUGCACCAGUCGAGAAAACUUCACACUGUGCGAAAGCACGAUGAGGGAAUCCCAAGUGCUUGCACGUAGGUGUAAGCUGUUUCUCUGUUUAAAACGCAGAGAGAGUAAGGGCUGGGUAAGACGGGUGCCAGCCGCCGCGGUAAUACCUGCAGCUCAAGUGGUGACCGUUAUUAUUGGGCCUAAAACGUCCGUAGCCGGUUUAAUAAAUGCCUGGGUAAAUCGUGUAGCUUAACUAUACGAAUUCCGGGUAGACUGUUAAACUCGAGACCGGGAGAAGUUAGAGGUACUCCUGGGGUAGAGGUGAAAUUCUGUAAUCCUAGGGGGACCACCAGUGGCGAAGGCGUCUAACUAGAACGGGUCUGACGGUGAGGGACGAAGCCCUGGGGCGCAAACGGGAUUAGAUACCCCUGUAG